AUCUGUCUGCUCAGUGAGUGGGAGGGCUGGUACCUUCUCUUGUUUCUGAGACCCAGGUAGCAAAGGAGUUUGAGUUUGCAGUUGGAAUCAAAGGCUCUCCAACAAGGAAACAACUAAUAAUCAUGGUAAAAUAAAGUCAGUGAAAUAAAAACUGAAAGAAGCUGCCACCAAGAGACCUGCACUAAAGGAAAUUCUGACAGAUAUUCUUUGGGUAAAGAGAAGAUCCCAGAUGAAAGCUUGGAGAUGAAGGAAAAAUUGAAGAGGAAUGAAAAUGGAAACAACACAGGUGUGUUCCUGCAAGACCUCUCUUUCCCUAGGGGAAAACAGAGACAUCUCAUCACAGAUAGCUCUAGGUUUGCCUUGGCCAUGAUGUCCAAGUGGUCUGCUUGGUUCCAUGCCUGCGUCUGAGCUGGCUCUGUGGGAGGUGCCAAGCUGCCUUCGACACUGUGCAUGGCACUUUAAAGCUCUCAAUAAAUAUUUUUCAAGUGAAGUCAAUGAAGCAAGAAAGAAUCUCAACUAGUUUUGAGUUUUGGUUGAAGAGAAGGCUCACAGAGGCUCAGGGAAGCCCUCAGGUUUCAUGGGGACAGCCUGAAGAAUGACCUUCAUAUAAUGGCCACACAGCCACUUGGGCCACCGGAGCUCACCGUGAGACACACUCACCAUCUCGUCUUCAUGUCUGGUGCUCCCUUUAGUUUUCUGGCAAGAAGCUAGGGAGAAGGUGACUUGAGCUCCUCGUGUGUUUUGAUCACUCAACAAAGAAGACAAAAGGGCGUUUCAUAACCUGACAGUGGGAGAGCACAUUAAAAAGGAGCUGAGCUGACCUUUGCACUGUCUAUGAAGAAUGAGUUUCCUAAACUCAUCAUAGCAACAAGAUAUAACGGGGGUUAUUAAGCCACUAAAACUUUUUCUGAAUUCAUAUGCACUUUUUCCCAAAUAGAAUGCUGACGACAAAUAAUUUUAUCAAUCAUUAAAGAAGAUCCCUUCAGAACCUCUCCAGGGAAAUACUUGUAGCUUAGUUCUGGUUAGCACGUAAUGCCACAAGAAUCUGGCAUCAUUUAGACCAGCCAUUUAUUCAGAUAUCAAGAGCAAGAGACUGUAACUGAUUCCCUGACCUCUGACUAAAAACAAAUAUAAACAGUUCUGUGGACUAAAUGUUGUUUAUCCUGGGAAGGAUGUGGUUUUAUCACUGUUGCCCACAGUAACUGGUCAGCCCCUGUGUCUCAGAAGGGAGCUGAGAAGGCUUGAAAGGGU
RNAcentral lists this long non-coding RNA (1251 nucleotides) under Homo sapiens (human). RNAcentral describes it as "HSALNT0394163". Lineage: Eukaryota; Metazoa; Chordata; Mammalia; Primates; Hominidae. The record is from RNAcentral.